CAUGGUUAUAUUCUUAACCCGAUAAACACUACUACGUAUGGUACCAUAGUGACCUUCACGUGUACUAACGGAUACACACUGACAGGAUCGAGGGUUAGAAUGUGUGAUGUGAUCGGCCAUUCCGUUGCAUAGAAUGGGACCAUAACGACGUGCGUCAUUACAGGCUGUGGACCUCUUUCGAAACCUGACAAUGGUGAUGUGGUAUUAAAUGCUGGUACAAAAUAUGAAGCUGUUGCUAACUACAGUUGUAACGAGGGAUUCAAACUGGUUGGUGAUACAUCUAGAAUUUGUCAAAAUACAGGCACGUGGUCUGGGUUACAACCAACAUGUGCUGCGAAAGAAAGCCAAAUAGUAGUGUGUACUGCAAAUACCGAUAGUCGAGUUAUGUACUGGGGUGAGAUUUUGGCGGGAGAAAUGCGAGUGAAAUCGUGUGAGGCCAAUUUUACAGGUAAUGUAACAAGGAAGUGCCUUGAGGAUGGGAAGUGGCAGCUUCCAAAUUACAACUGUAUCAGAACUGCCGUGAACAACGUGCUUAUUGC
Long non-coding RNA from Dreissena polymorpha, 539 nucleotides. RefSeq lists it as uncharacterized. Lineage: Eukaryota; Metazoa; Mollusca; Bivalvia; Myida; Dreissenidae. The record is from RefSeq and is a predicted model, not a curated record. The transcript is spliced from 4 exons.